Molecule: ribosomal RNA, 387 nt
Filed under: uncultured Babesia
Lineage: Eukaryota; Apicomplexa; Aconoidasida; Piroplasmida; Babesiidae
Description: SSU rRNA
Rfam family: Eukaryotic small subunit ribosomal RNA
Source: RNAcentral
UGAAAUGNNAGUUAUAGAGUACAGGGNCUAAUGUCUUGUAAUUGGAAAUGAUGGUCCACUUAAACCCUCACCAGAAGUAGCAAUUGGAGGGCAAGUCUGGUGCCAGCAGCCGCGGUAAUUCCAGCUCCAAUAGCGUAUAUUAAACUUGUUGCAGUUAAAAAGCUCGUAGUUGUAUUUUUGCUUGGCGGUUUGUUGCCUUUGUGGCUGUAUCCCGCUUGGCUUUUGGCUUUUUGCCUUAUUACUUUGAGAAAAUUAGAGUGUUUCAAGCAGACUUUUGUCUUGAAUACUGUAGCAUGGAAUAAUAGAGUAGGACUUUGGUUCUAUUUUGUUGGUUUGGGAACCUUGGUAAUGGUUAAUAGGAACGGUUGGGGGCAUUCGUAUUUAAAU